This 2697-nucleotide unclassified non-coding RNA is filed under the name Megachile rotundata (alfalfa leafcutting bee). RNAcentral's name for it is "eukaryotic translation initiation factor 3 subunit B, transcript variant X2". Lineage: Eukaryota; Metazoa; Arthropoda; Insecta; Hymenoptera; Megachilidae. The record is from RNAcentral.
CUAAAUGGCGCCACGAUUUACUUUGGCAGCUGACGAAUACAAAUCGCUAGAUUUGGAGUAGAGGUAUCAGGAGUGUAGAAUAAGCGAGGAGGAGUAUACGCAUAGCAGGAGGGGCACCUUACAUGUACGUUUGAACUUAUACCGAAGAGAUCUUAAUUGUGAUUCGUUUCCAAAGCUUAAUGAACACUUUCGAAAGUAUUGGACUUUUCUAUGUUUUAACAUAUAAUUGUGAAUGAAGAUAACAUUUUUGUCGUUAUAAUACAUAUUUGAUUAUUCAUCACCAAGCACCACGCGAUUGCAUCAAAUGCAGAAAGGCAACUCUCAGCCAUUUUCAUUCCAUACCUCGUGCAUUUAGAGGUUUCCAAGAUGGCGAAGAAAACGUUAGCGGAUAAAACCCCUCAAAACGACGAUAAUGUUAAAAAUAACGACGAUGUACUAACCGACGAUGAAGAACCGAAUUUUAGUGAUCCCGAGGGAUUUGUGGAUGAUAUCACCGAUGAAGAACUCCUUGGUGACAUCCUCAAACAAAAACCAUCAGAAACAGAUGGUGUAGAAUCGGUAAUUGUUAUCGAUGGAGUGCCCCAGGUUGAGCCUGAGAGAUUAGAGAAACUUCAAUCCGUGAUUAGCAAAGUUUUAGGAAAAUUUGGCACAAUUGUAAACCAAUAUUAUCCUAAAAAUGAAAAUGGAUAUACCAAAGGGUAUAUAUUUUUAGAAUACAAUAACCCAGUUAACGCUUUAGCAGCCGCUCAGUCUGUAAAUAAUUACAAAAUUGACAAACAACACACAUUUAAAGUAAAUUUGUUUACCGAUUUUAAAAAGUUUGAAGAAAUCCCAGAUGAAUGGGAGCCUCCAAAACCACAAGAAUUUAAAGCUGCUGCAGAUUUACACUAUUAUCUUUUAGAACCAGAUGCUUAUGAUCAAUAUUGUGUACUUUGUGGUAAUGGUCCUUCUGUUACUGUACAAGUAUGGCAAAAUUCUGCCCCUGAACCAUCAUUGCUCGAAGAACGUGCUCGCUGGACAGAGACGUAUGUCAAGUGGUCUCCAUUAGGUACAUAUUUGGCAACUUUUCAUAAAUUGGGUGUUGCAUUAUGGGGUGGCCCUCAGUUUGUACAGCAAGCUAGAUUCAGUCAGAAAGGUGUUGAGUGUAUUGACUUUUCACCUUGCGAGCGGUAUUUAGUAACAUACACUCCUCGAACUGAUCUUGGUUCUGAUCAAAAACGUUUGGUAAUUUGGGAUAUUCUUACUGGUCAAGAAAAGCGUUCAUUCUAUGCAGACGGUUCUUCGGUGUGGCCCAUUUUCCGUUGGUCGCACGACGAUAAAUAUCUUGCUCGUAUGGGAGAAGAUAUUCUGAGUGUUUAUGAAACACCUUCGUUUGGUUUAUUGGACAAAAAGAGUAUAAAAAUUCCGGGGAUCAGAGACUUCAGUUGGUCUCCCACUGAUAACAUUCUUGCAUAUUGGGUACCAGAAGAUAAGGAUGUCCCAGCCAGAGUUACCCUUCUUGAGAUUCCAAACCGAAAUGAAAUACGUAACAAAAACUUGUUCAACGUAGCUGACUGUAAAAUUUAUUGGCAGAAGUCAGGAGAUUAUCUUUGCGUGAAGGUUGAUCGUUUCGCCAAACGUAAAGAAAAGACAGAACAAAAAUACACGGGAAUGUCUUAUAACUUCGAAAUCUUUCACAUGCGAGAAAAACAAAUUCCAGUUGAUAGCGUAGAAAUAAAAGAACCGAUUCACGCAUUUGCCUGGGAACCUGUUGGCAGCAAAUUUGCUAUUAUUCACGGAGACAUUCCAAGCGUUAACGUUAGUUUUUAUGAAGUACGAUAUGGUCAUCAGCCUGCACUUUUAAAAAAACUAGAGAAGAAGGCCUGCAAUCACCUGUUCUGGUCACCUUCUGGACAAUUUAUUGUUCUUGCUGGAUUAACAACUAUGGCAGGAGCUUUGGAGUUUAUUGAUACCAAUGAUUUUAUCAUCAUGAACUCAACGGAUCAUUAUCAAACUUCAGACGUAGAAUGGGAUCCUACCGGACGGUAUGUCGUAACUGCUGUCUCUAGUUGGAAAACUAGCGUUGAUAAUGGAUAUUGGAUAUGGACGUUCCAAGGUCGUAUCUUAAAAAGAGUUAACCUUAAUCAAUUUAAUCAAUUGCUUUGGAGACCACGACCACCAACAUUGCUGACAGCAGAACAGAUUAAAGAAAUUAAGAAGAAUUUGAAGAAAUAUUCCGCGCAAUUCGAAAGCAAAGAUCGUAUGCGACUAACACGUGCUUCAAAGGAAUUAAUUGAAAAACGUUGUACUGCAAUGAAAGCAUUUGAGGAAUACCGUUCAAAACGUGUUCAAGAAUGGAAUAAUCAAAAGAAACGCCGUUUAGAAUUACGUAAUGGUAUCGAUACCGAUGAAUUAGAUUCUGAUUCGAAGAAUGUAGAGGAAGAAGUAAUAGAAUUUUUCGUCAAAGAAGAAACAUUCGUUAUUGACGACAAAUAAAAUUUUGUGGGAGAAGUUUUCCUGUCUGCCAUUUUUGGAAAUCUCUAGUGCAAAACCGAUCCAGUCAUUUGUGAAAAGUGUUGUCAAACACUUUAAUUGGAAUUUCUUCCACUUUUUCGACGUUACGUAUAAAACGUCGUAACCAUAGUACCAUAAAGUUUUAUCACGUUCCAUACAGGAUAGUAUGUCAAUCAACAAAUAAUUAUUAUCAGUAUAAACAUA